CGGACGGGUGAGUAACGCGUGAGAAUCUGCCUACAGGACGGGGACAACAGUUGGAAACGACUGCUAAUACCCGAUGUGUCGAGAGGUGAAACAUUUAUGGCCUGUAGAUGAGCUCGCGUCUGAUUAGCUAGUUGGUGGGGUAAGGGCCUACCAAGGCGACGAUCAGUAGCUGGUCUGAGAGGAUGAUCAGCCACACUGGGACUGAGACACGGCCCAGACUCCUACGGGAGGCAGCAGUGGGGAAUUUUCCGCAAUGGGCGCAAGCCUGACGGAGCAACGCCGCGUGGGGGAGGAAGGUUUUUGGACUGUAAACCCCUUUUCUCAGGGAAGAAGAAAGUGACGGUACCUGAGGAAUAAGCCUCGGCUAAUUCCGUGCCAGCAGCCGCGGUAAUACGGGAGAGGCAAGCGUUAUCCGGAAUUAUUGGGCGUAAAGCGUCCGCAGGCGGUUAAUCAAGUCUGUUGUCAAAGCGUGGGGCUCAACCUCAUACAGGCAAUGGAAACUGAUUGACUAGAGUAUGGUAGGGGUAGCGGGAAUUCCAGGUGUAGCGGUGAAAUGCGUAGAUAUCUGGAAGAACACCAGCGGCGAAAGCGCGCUACUGGGCCAUAACUGACGCUCAUGGACGAAAGCUAGGGGAGCGAAAGGGAUUAGAUACCCCUGUAGUC
RNAcentral lists this ribosomal RNA (663 nucleotides) under uncultured Cyanobacterium sp. RNAcentral's name for it is "bacterial SSU rRNA". It matches the Rfam family "Bacterial small subunit ribosomal RNA", at positions 99 to 795 of the family's 1533-position model. The record is from RNAcentral. Lineage: Bacteria; Bacillati; Cyanobacteriota; Cyanophyceae; Chroococcales; Geminocystaceae.